Molecule: ribosomal RNA, 282 nt
Filed under: Actinomycetes bacterium
Lineage: Bacteria; Bacillati; Actinomycetota; Actinomycetes
Description: Actinobacteria bacterium partial 16S ribosomal RNA
Rfam family: Bacterial small subunit ribosomal RNA
Source: RNAcentral
UUCACGGAGAGUUUGAUCCUGGCUCAGGACGAACGCUGGCGGCGCGCUUAACACAUGCAAGUCGAGCGAGAACCAGGGCUUCGGCCCUGGGGACAGCGGCGAACGGGUGAGUAACACGUGGAUAAUCCACCCUCGGCACCGGAAUAGCCCGGGGAAACCCGGAUUAAUGCCGGAUGGCCCGUCGACCCUUCGGGGGUUGACGGAAAAGGUAGCUUCGGCCUCCGGCCGAGGACGAGUCCGCGGCGGAUUAGCUUGUUGGCGGGGUAACGGCCCACCAAGGCU